CCGGAGAGUGAACUUUUCACCCCUACUUCAGCCCGGGCUUGUCGGACUAAGGCCAAAACUAAAGCCGGAAAUGAUAUGCCACUUGCUAAAGCCUAAAGGGAUAUUUUAAAACAGAAAGCAACAUUUUUAAACAUUCCUUAAACACAUUUGAAUAACAAGCAGAUCUAAGAAAAGAAAGUUAGAAUAUAUGAAAAGAGUAGAAACUCUAAGGAUCAAAAUAAUAAAACAAAAAGCUUGGAAACGGGAGUGGGUACACAGACUCCCAGAGAGCAGGAAGCUAAGUCAAAGGAGAAGGAGAUGCUGCAGAAGAGACCAUCGGCUCUUCCCAACCUGCAGCUCAAUAAAAAAUGAAAAGUCAAGAUUUCUAUUCCAGAUCAACUGAGAAUUGUCUUUUGAGGGCAGCUUUAGGGUCUUAUACCAGAAGGUAUUCCCAGAAAGCACCUUUCCAGGGCCAAUACUAAAAUAGUCAUUUUAAAGUAUUUAAAUAGGAUUAGACAACUCUAGGCUAAAUGAAGUUAAAAAGCACAAUAAAGAGUGGAGCACAGAACUGUGUUUCUACCUUUGCAGCUCCACCCAAGUAGAGAGACGAGAAUGUGUCGACAGGUUUAGAAAUAGAACACCUCAUCCCUCUCUGCAGCCAUGGAGGCAGCAGCGUUCUAAAGCCCCAUCACAGCCCUGGAAUCAACGUUCCCUGGAGGGCAACUUGUGUAGGGAUGUCCUGCGGCUGGCUCUAGGAGCUUGGGCUUGAAGCAGGCUAUAAUCAACUACUUAUCAAACAGAAUUAAGUUAGAAGAGAUGUUAUUUAAAAUAAAACAAACAAAAAUCUAAAAAUAACUAGGCUCCAUGGAAUCCACAGGACAAAACGCACCUGGAGAAGCAAUACAGUUCAUACGAGCAGAGGAAUGACUUGUGGCCUAUCGGGCAUAAAAAGAGAGAGAAGAGCUGACUGUGCAGGUAAGAUGGAGGAAAGGGAGCAAAGCCAAGAGGCUAUAGCAGGUGCAUUAAAAAGAGAUGAACACACAAGAAGCACGAAUUUGUAGUAUAUUUGCCAGUUACUGAUCCUUAACUCAUAGGUGUUCACAAAGUGCAAAAAAACACAUACCACAUUAAAGAAAAUGACAAGCUACUUGCAAGUCUGAUGAAAAUAGAGCAAGAGAACAGGAGUACUGGAAGCUACCAUUUACUGAAAAGGCUCUUUAAAAUUCACUAUUGCUAAUCCUUACAAUAAUUCUGCAAGGUAAAUGGUAUCUCUUGCAGACCUUUUAUAUAAAAUGAUACCUUUUAUAGACGAAGAAACAGACCAUCAUUGAUGCUAAGAAAAGUCCUCAGGGGCACACAGGAAUAAGUAAGUGGCAGAGCCAAGAUCUAACCCAAGGCAUUCUCACUUCAAAAUGUCUUUUCAUUAAGCUUACUGACUCUCAAAAAGUAUACUUAAAUGAAAAUCAAUUAAGUGAGACACAGAAAAGAAUUUCCUCCAUUUAAACAGACUAGAAUGGGUUGAGCUCUGGAGGUGUAAACUACCAAUGACAAUCUCCUGGUUUUGAUCACUGUACUACAGUUACUGAGAUAUUAUCCUGGGGGGGAAGGGUACAUGGGAACUCUUAUUUUUGCAUUGUUUUGCAACCUAAAAUUAUUUUAAAAUAAAAAGUUUUGUUGUUUUUAUUUUAAUAAUAGGAAUGAACUUUUUGGAAGGUUACCUAGCCUCCUCUUCCUUUGGGGAGAUAUAUAUAUAUUUUAAAAGGCUAAUUCUCAGCUGUCUGCAGUGACCUAAAUACCACAAGAAAUAAAGUAAUAUUGAAUCUCUUCCACUCCCAUUCAACUUCAAUAAACUUUCAUUAACUACGUAUUACCACAUGGUACCAUACUAUUUUGUCUAUACAAAAAUAUAAGUACUAUCCAGUACUCCCACACUCAAGGUUUUUCCUUUUUUAUCUUUGUCUACCAUGUUUAUAUACAGGAACCAGGGAAACAGACUUACCAUUUAUAUCUAAAGUGAACAUCAUGAGAAUAAAAUGUCUAGCUAACAUUAAAGAGAAUGUUCGACAAAAUUUACUUUUUUUCCUAAGAAUUAUUGAGCCACAUUUUUCCAGUAUAUAAGACAAACCAUUUAUUGAGCACCUUCUGUGUCAUUAAAUUCAUUUACUAUCACAGCAAUGUUAUAAAGUAAAAAUUAAUAUGCCCAUUUUACAUAUAUAAGGAAAGCCAGACAAACUAAUUUUCAGAAGUCAUGAAAGUAUUCAGUGGUAAAAUGAGGAUUCAAACUCAGAUCUAGCUACCUCUAAGAUGAUACACCUUGCUCUAUCUUUGCGGCUCCACACUGUCAUUUCUAUCUUAAAAAGCAUCUCCUAUAUUAUUUACUAACUAAACCUUAAUAGCAAAAUAUCCAUUUUAAGCACAUUCACACGUUAAAAAAAAAAACUCAAUGUUCAUUCCUGGCUCCUAUUUGAAGUUAAAGUUUGUUAGCGAAGCUGAAGAAAAAUCUUAGAAGUAUGAAAGAAAUGCAAGUGGUAUUCCAAGUAACAAUAUGUGUGCAGUCGAGUGGGAAACAUGAGAAGAGCAUCUGCCAACUUCAUUUUGGCCUCGUUUGAUGCUAUCUCACUGAUCUGGGUCCAACUUACAUUUAUGUCUCCCUCUUUCCCUCCCCCAUUUCCUCUUCACUCCAGCAGCAUACAAAAAUCACAGCAAAGAAGCUGGACAGAGUUUCUAAGAAUGCACUGAAAACAUUAUCAAAUAAGGGAAUGGCUAUCUAGUCCAAGCAUAACCUUAUUUCAACUAAGAAAAAUCUCAAACACUAAAACAAAUCUUUAUGGGAUCAUAAAUAACCAGAAACAAAAUUAUCUAAAUAUCGACUCUAAAGACAAAUAGAUUUUUGGAGAGAAAUGCUCAAAAGAACUAACUAAAAAUGUCCUUUAAUCUGUACUUAUACACAGGGUGUUAUAACUUAGUAUGAGUCAACCUCUAAGUUGGAUGUACUUUUUAAUUCAAACUUUUUUUAAGUCUUUAAUUAGGUUUAAUUCUACUUUCAGCUUUUGUUCCCCAGCCCUGAUCCCCAUCUGUUCAACCCUGGUGCUAAGGAACCUCAGAUUUCCGAUACUUGUAAUUCAGCACCAUCGGGACCGACCUUUAGUUUUGAAGGUGCACAAUGUCAUGACACUUCCCUUGACUUCCAUCCACAUUUGGAAUUUUUUUUAGUCCAGUAUAUGUAACUGGUAAUAUUUUGAAAAAGAAACAGUUCUCCAUCAGUUACAUUUUCCAAAAAGGUCCAAGUAAAAAUGGCUAGUUGAUUUUUAUUUUUAAAGUCACUCAACGGUUUGCUCCUAAUGGUGACAUUGUAUGGUAUCCUUAGCUCUUUCCUUCCAACUUCUUGGUAAACCGAGGGACUAGAUUGCAUUAGUACAAUAGUAAAGAAAAAGUAAUAUUCUAGAAAACCAAACAUAUAAGCUGAAAAAAUCUUGGCUUCUUUCUCAGACCACUAAGUAUCAGCUAACAAAUAGUACCAAUGAGGAUUUCCAUUCUGAUGUUCAGGGGCUCAGGUAAUAAUACUAUGAAUACUAAUCUACAAGUCUCCUAUCCACCUUCCCCUCCCCCUACAAAAAAGACAGGAGCAAAUGGUGUCAGGCAUCAUGUAUUAAUCCUGGGAGAUACCGUAGGAAAUGACAUUUUAGUACCCUCUCUAACACGUUCACACUCUAACGGAGGCGAUAAAGUUAACAGACAAUUGUAAUUCAGUGUGAUGAGGGAUGUUACAAGGAUAAGCACAGGAUGCUAUGGAAAUAUAGAGGAGGCAUUUUUAACACAAUCCGAAGAGGGCAGGCAUUGGGGAUGUUCAGGAGAGUUUCUGAGAAAUAAGAUGUCCGAAAGAGACUAAAACAUAAGUAACCACUUUGCAUCCACUAGGAUGGCUGUAAUAAAAAAGACUGAUAGUAACAAGUGUUGGGGAGGGAUCUGGAAAAAUCGGAACCCUCGUAUCUCACUGGUGGGAAUAUAAACUGGUGCAGGCACUUUGAAAAACAUUUUGACAGUUGCUUAAAAUGUUAAGCAUAGAAUUACCCUACGAGCCAGCAAUUUUCACUCCUAGAUGUAUACCCAAGAGAACUGAAAACAUAUGUCCACACAAACUUGUACACAAAUAUAUACAGCAGUAUUAUUCAAAAUAGGCAAAAUGUGGAAACAACUCAAAUGUCCAUCAAUUGACAAAUGGAUAAAUAAAAAGUGGUACAUUCCAAAAGCGAAUACAAUUUAGUCAUGAAAGAAGAAUGCAGUAUUGAUACAUGCUUAAAAAAAAUGUAUGAACACAGAUAAACCUUUAAAAACAUGAUGCUAAGUGAAAGAAGCCAGACACAAAAGGCCAAAGAUUGUAUGGUUCCAUUUAUAUGAAAUUUUCAGAAUAAUCAGAUUCAUGCAGACAGAAGGCAGAUUAGCAGCUGCCAGGGGCUGGGGGGAGGGGGAAUGGAGAGAGACUGCUAAUGGGUAUGAUGGGGUUGGUUUCUGUGGCGACAAUAAUAUUCUGGAAUUAGAUCACCGUGAUAGUUUUGCCACUUUGUAAAUAUACUAGAGUCCUAAAUUAUAUAGGUCGAAAUGGAGAAUUUUAAGACAUAUGAGUUAUAUCUCAAUCAAAAAGACAGAAAAAAAGAUUUAAGAGUGAGCAGGAAUGGUAGAUGGUAAAGAGAAGUGGGUACUGAUGUGGGUUCUGGAGCAUGGGAAGAAGGCAUGAGUGCGACUGAGGGAGUGGCUUGGCUCCCAUUCACGGCAAAGACACGGAGGGUAAGUGCAGUUUAAUUGGGUGGGCGUGGAGACAGAAGGGGAGGGAGUUGAUGUCUCAAGUCUCUCUUCGGCAAGUUGGCAGGGUAGGAAGUUGGAAAUGAAGGAAGGAAGGAAGGUUAGAACAACCUCUACAGAGAACAGGAGAGAGAAAUGACUGGAAAAUAAGUUGAUUAUUGGAAGUUUCCCACACUUUUUUGUUUGUUUGUUUAAUCAACAUCCAGGUUUAACUACAAAACAACAUACUUAGGCACAAAAUGAACAGGAGGUCUCAGAAGAUAUUUUCUCCUCUGUCAAACCUUCUGGAUCCUUCGACUAGAGUGUGAGGGGCUCAAAGCUCACCUCCUGCUGUUUUCAGCAAUGUCUGAAUCCUUUUUUAGUCUUUCCUAUUUGCUUUAUCAGUUGCUUCAGUCCCAUAGCAAGCUGCUUCUUGGCAUUUGUCAUUUCCUCUUAUUUUACAAUAUUAUUUCAACAACUAGGUAUUGCAGAACUCAAAAAUUGAUAUGAAGAUGAUUUUUAUGACGCUUUUCAUAACCU
Equus caballus (horse) is the source of this 5298-nucleotide long non-coding RNA. The record is from Ensembl. NCBI's taxonomy places the organism in Eukaryota, Metazoa, Chordata, Mammalia, Perissodactyla, Equidae.